UGGGAAGUAUUGCACAAUGGGCGAAAGCCUGAUGCAGCAACGCCGCGUGAGCGAUGAAGGCCUUCAGGUCGUAAAGCUCUGUCCUCAAGGAAGAUAAUGACGGUACUUGAGGAGGAAGCCCCGGCUAACUACGUGCCAGCAGCCGCGGUAAUACGUAGGGGCGGCUAGCGUUAUCCGGAAUUACUGGGCGUAAAGGGUGCGUAGGUGGUUUCUUAAGUCAGAGGUGAAAGGCUACGGCUCAACCGUAGUAAGCCUUUGAAACUGGGAACUUGAGUGCAGGAGAGGAGAGUGGAAUUCCUAGUGUAGCGGUGAAAUGCGUAGAUAUUAGGAGGAACACCAGUUGCGAAGGCGGCUCUCUGGACUGUAACUGACACUGAGGCACGAAAGCGUGGGAGCAAACAGAUAGAUACC
This 411-nucleotide ribosomal RNA is filed under the name uncultured bacterium. RNAcentral's name for it is "bacterial SSU rRNA". It matches the Rfam family "Bacterial small subunit ribosomal RNA", at positions 355 to 787 of the family's 1533-position model. The record is from RNAcentral.